This is a long non-coding RNA of Gasterosteus aculeatus aculeatus (three-spined stickleback), 3861 nucleotides long. The record is from Ensembl. Lineage: Eukaryota; Metazoa; Chordata; Actinopteri; Perciformes; Gasterosteidae.
GGUUCUGGGCACUGUAAGCUAUAUAUCAAUUUUAAUUCUAAAAUACUAAACUUGUCAUGUUCUGAUGCAUGUAUUCUAACAGUAACUGACAAAGAUAUGUCCUUUGCAAAGCAAUAAAGCCCUCCUCACUGAGUCAAAUCUCAUGGUGAAGAGAAUUCUCUCCCUGACAUGUAAAUGGUGUAAACUUUAAUGUGCUGUGCCACCGACCCUGAGUUCAAACGUGUGAACUCUGAACAGGAAGCAAAAUGAAGUGCAAAGUGAACGCUUAUCAAUCUUCCCAGGGCCAAUUGGGUUACAUUAAAACUAAGUCUGGCUGAUGUCACUGAUUCUCCUGUAUUUGGUGUGGUCACUCGAAAGCAUUAGCAUUAGCUCGCAGUACUGUUUUUAUUUGUGUGUGUGUGUGUGUGUGUGGGGGGGUAUGUUUGUAAGAUUCAUUUGAAUCACUUUUUAUUUCAUUCAUAUUGUAUUUUUUUUUAUUUGUGUUGUUUAUUUUCAUUUGCAGUGGCGUAUAACCGGAGACAUCUGACUGGCACAAAUCAUGGUGCUAGCAGAUUAGCAUAGACAAUAUUGAAUGACGGCAGGCUGCGUACAUUUUUACUUUACUAAAAGAUGAUGGACGCCAACCGUUUUUAAUUACCAUUAACUACCAAGUCCAUCAUUAAUUUAAAGUGUAGUUUAGCUGUGACAGCUUUACUAUCAUCUGUCAUUUCCCAUUUGGAGACUUUACAAGAUAAAGUAACUUUUCGGACCUCCUGCUAGCUUCUUUGCUCAAGAGCAGAACAGAACAGAAAUGUCUGCAUGUGCUUUUGGACCCGAGGGAAUAAUCUUAUCAGCAUUUCUUUAAAGGAAAAGCAGUUUAUGUGAAUGCUUUUACUUAUGCUGCUUGCUAAUCACAUCCAAACUGUGGCCCUCGUUCACUAUAUUACCAAUCUUAUGCAUGCUGGGACGCUCGGUGCAAAUACAUAUAAAUGCUAAUUCAUACAUGGCUUGAAACAUUUAUUUUGGUUUCCUUCAGCGAACCACAUUUGCUUAUUGUUAUGAUGGGCUGUGUAUAAUUUAGUAUUUAGAAGAAAAAAAGAUCCUUACUUUACAACAUUUGACUUUGGAUUAAUUUGUAUCGUCACAAUAAAAAUCAGGAUUGUGGCAAAAUCCUGCAAUUAAUAACAUAAUAAAUAUGAUUCCAUUUUUACAAUUCAAAAGAGGGAUAUUUGAGCGUUUAUUAUUUCAGUGAAUUGCGCAAUAUAUGAAAAUCUGGUGAUUGUAAGACCUUCAAAACUAAAAAAGCUUUCAAAUAUCUGAUUACAAACUAUUUUAAUUCUAAUUUAAUUCAAGUUGUAUUUAUAUAGCGUAAAAUCAAAAUGUGUCAUCAGGGGGCUUUGCAAUGUGUACAGCAUCCUCGGUCUUGGAUGACUGUAGAGGUUGUUAAAUGUAGAUUGACAUUCUGUAGUACAUUAGUUUCUAGAUCUAUGUUAAAAGGGUGAUAAAAAAAGGUUUUGAUUGAAAGUGAGCAGCCCAGAAUCAUUUGUAUGACCAGAAUAUAGCACAAUGUAAACAAGCAUGGCCUCUUUACCUGUCACUUUGAGUUGUUCUCUGCAACCAAGCUCCCUGUGGGGAACCUACCCGCAUGCUUCCUGCAUGUUGGACCAUCAUUGUCUCCACUCUUCAAACCCACAUGGCCACGUGGAUGGAAAAGCUUCUUAAAAACGCUAUAGGACACUUAUUGGUUGGCAUAAAUAACACUACAAUUUCUGAGGAAUCUGAGAAAAACAAAUUCUUUUUAAUAAUAGCCCUCUAAUUAAGACUAUCAUGACCUGGUGAGUAGAUUAUCUUGGCGUGAAGGUGAUCAGCUGCUGAAGAAAAGGUACAGAUUGACACAAGGACCAAUAGAGCAUAACAUAGAUCCUAAACAAACCGUCCUACUGCAUAUAGAUCAAUGUGUAACUGUCAACGAAGAGUUCAAUCUUUGAACUAUAUUGAAUUACACAAUUGCCUAAAACCCCAAAUCAGGUUCACUUACAGACCACAUGAGGAUAAUUUGAUGUUUGCCUUUUUUUCCCCUCCUGUAGUCACCUCCAGGAGUCCCGUAAACCGAGACAGUUCUGUUACCCUUAAGCAUCAGUGUGUCAGGGCCUGUACAUAUAGUCAAAUGUCGCAGGCAAUGCCGGAUGUGCUGGCUGAUCUCAGCUCAACCGGCUGCUGGGGAUAUGUGUUUGAAUCAGGAACGUGGUUACGAUAUCUCCUGGUUCCACUUUAAUUCCAUCCUCCAUAAUUAUCCUUCAAGAAACACAUGUGUCAGUUGCCAUGCUCUGCUACUUUAGGUUUCUGUCAUUUUACAAGGCAGUUAAUACAACAGUACCUGUAGAGAGGAGCAGAAGAAGCAGGGAUCUACUUACCUAAACAUUUCAGGCUCACUUUCAUUUCAAUUAGCGCACAUUAAUUCAGAGCGUGAGAAGAUGUAUGUCAGCUCCGUAGUUUUAAGGGUGCAGCUUAUUUGCAUUGGUCUCACUGCACUCAUUCCUCUCUGACUGCGCUAGUAUUUUAUGACUCAGUUGCAUGUGUUUCAUUAAUUCCGUUUUAAUUCUUGAAGCAUUAAAUAAUCAUAUCGUCACAUAAUGUUUCUGUCAUUUUUAAUUGCAACAAAAUUUGAAACUUGUGGAAACUUCCAGUUGUCAGGGAUUAGAAUUACUAAUAAUUUCUCAAACGCGGGAGAAUAAUAGGCCACUAAUACCUGACAUAUGAAAUCGAACCUGAAACGUGUCCUCAGUCCAGACUUCCUACCAGGACACCUGAUGGACCGUGAGUGUCCUCCGAGGCGUGUGCACGCGGGGCUGGAGAGCCUCCGUCUCCGGCCUGCAGGUAGCAUUCCGGCUCCUCUGCGGCGCAGAAACUGCAGCUUCUAAUUCAAUUUCUGCACGAUGUCAACACAUCUGUAAACACACAGGAGAUUAUUUUGCAGUUUUUAAAAAAGUGGUUCAACGAAAAUACAAAAUAGGGUGCCCUGUAUGGCGUUAAAAAGCCGAUGCUUUUAAUAUUAUUUCAUGAUUAACGCUGUGCUGAGAACUUCCAGAGCACAAGCCACACACGUUUUACAAGAGUAAUCCCUCUCUUUUAUUUGAUGCCGCGGGAUAACAUGUUCACACUUCAGCUUCCAACGAUUUUACUGCUCGAAAAUACUUUAAUCUCAUUUCAAAAUUGAAGGAUUUCUGCAAAUCCGUAUAGAAAAUACACCUCGAAUAAAUAUGCACAGUGAGGUAGGGUAAUACGGAAAUUUAACAAUUUAUUUUCAUAAACUGAAAUAAAAUAUAAAAUGUACGAUUUUGCGGAGUCCUUUUUGCUUUAGCAGAAAUGUGUUUUAGUUUUAUGAAUCCGUUUUCCGUGUUUUGGGGGAUCCACAACAUGUAUAGAGGCCGCUUUCAGCCGUGACUGUCAGGUAUUGUUCACAAAAUGACUCUGGGAUCGAUUUGUUUUCAUUUGAUCCGAAUGUGAUGAGUGCACGUAGAAAGAAACGCGAAAAUACUCGCGUGUCUCUAUUGGGGAUUUCAGAGGUCUUAUAGAGCACCACAGGCUGCAUCUCUGUGGAUAUGACCUUUGGGCUCAAAGGCACAACGGUAACGUCCCUCCAGCCAGCUAAUGACAACAGAGGGAUUUUUCUAUGAAUGCUUUUGGGAACAUUUGAGCCACCGAAGGAUAUGUCUCUGUGAUCUAUUUGGAGGCGCGCGUCACAGUAGAACAUACCUAUGUUCGCUGUACACGUGCGCAUGCACAUUUCGGCAGUGCGUCAUGCGCUCAUUCACCUGUGGCCAAACUUAUUUUGCCCCCCUUUGGAUUUAAUCAGCAGGAGUUGUCGAAUCUGAUGCGCGC